This 90-nucleotide transfer RNA is filed under the name Candidatus Altimarinota bacterium. Its description in RNAcentral is "Candidatus Gracilibacteria bacterium tRNA-Ser". It matches the Rfam family "tRNA". Rfam says of the family: Transfer RNA (tRNA) molecules are approximately 80 nucleotides in length. Their secondary structure includes four short double-helical elements and three loops (D, anti-codon, and T loops). The record is from RNAcentral. Lineage: Bacteria; Candidatus Altimarinota.
GGAGAGAUGGCUGAGUGGUCGAAGGCAACGGUCUUGAAAACCGUCGUGUCACUUGUGGCACCCAGGGUUCGAAUCCCUGUCUCUCCGCCA